GUAUUCCUAUGAAGGAAAACAGAACUAACGUUACUGCCCAAACCUUUACAUGUACCCAUGGAACCAGAUCCUUCAGCCACAGUCCUCUGACACCAUACUGAAGAAGGCGACAGGCACCUGAGGAAGAAGGAUCCUAAUUAACCCAUGAGAAAAUGACACUGUUGGGAAGUAUGUUCAUUACAUUUCUGGCGGAUUCAAGCAGAUGUGAAAUCACCCGUCCCUGAUCAAGAGGUUCAGGGCCUCUCUCCUUUGACCAGUACUAGUUGACCUGAGAUCAGUACUAUCCUACCUGGGCACCUGGGAAUUUUCUCUUUGCAGGGAAUUUGGGAUAAGUGAGAGAAGGGCAGAUAAUAGAUACUUCCCCCAUCCACAUACCAAACUGUCACUGGGAUGGGGAAGAGACAUAUGCCACAGAAGACUAGAGGUCAAGUGAGAAGUAGAGAGAAAAUGGGAGGUAAGCCAAGAUAAGAUGUGCCCACAGACGGAGCAGAUGGCACAGCCGACAGCAGGGACUCCUAGUAAAAGUUUAGUUAAAAAAAAAAGCCUCCUAUUUGGGGAAACUCCCACUGUAUUUCAAUGGCCCAACACUGUACCCCACAGGAGGAUCACCACAGCAUGCCGGUAUGGUGCUGGGCACAAGAGGGGCUCACACAUGCUUGUUUACAGCUGGGGAUAUGGCUGGCCAUUGUCAAGUCACUCAGUUAAACUUGUUCACUCUCGCCAAUUUAACAGUGUACUCCAAGCCUGGUUCAUGUGGAAUCCAACAGAACAUAAUCCCAUGGCCUUAGGAGUCUUGGAAGCAGAGAGAUGCUGUUGGCAGUCAAAUGUGGACAGAAAGGUCCUUAUGUAUACCCACUGAAAGAUCCUAAUGGGAAGAACCAGUUUAAUCAAGUAAAAAUGGGACUGAAAACAAUCUGAGCAAGAUAAUUAUUAAGUUUUAAAGAGACUAUGGAACAUUCUUGAGAUUGACCUCAAUAUGUUAGAUUAUCAUUUCAAAGGAAAUCAUUACAUAAUGUUCCUUAACAUAACAAAGAGCAACCAACAAACCCAGGGUAUAUAAGGGGGUCUACCAGUGCUUUUUAACUGGUUUAUCCAAUACCUUUACCUCUAUCCUCAAAACAACUGGAUUCACCAAUAAAAUUUAUUUCAC
This is a long non-coding RNA of Mustela erminea (ermine), 1150 nucleotides long. RefSeq lists it as uncharacterized. The transcript has 3 exons. The record is from RefSeq and is a predicted model, not a curated record. NCBI's taxonomy places the organism in Eukaryota, Metazoa, Chordata, Mammalia, Carnivora, Mustelidae.